ACCCACGAAGCUGAGGACGACUGGCAGGAAGACCAGGCCGUGCAACAGGCCCAGCAGGGUGAUGAGGAGGUUGAGGCGGAAGAAGAAGAUCUGGAUGAGCUGCGCCUUGGCCAGGCCCAGGACGAGGAUCCCCGGCAGCUGAUGCCCCACAGGGCCAUGAAGCCCACGGUGUCCACGAGGAUCAUGACGAUGGAGAACAGGUUGAGGAGGCCGGAGCGCAGGUCCAUGCCCAGCAGCAGGCAGCAGACGGCGAACGUGGGCAACAGGCACAUGGCAAGCAUGAAGAGGCCUUCGGGGACCACCGUCAGAGGGAAGAUCCAGAAAGGGAGACAAAACCCUGCAAGUAGUUCACCUGACAGGGCUGUGCUGUGGGUGACCCCUGGGCAGGUGCAAUAGCCAUUCACUUAACCAGGUCCCAAAUCCACGGAGGUGCUAUACGCUGCCAGUCCACUGCCAGAAAGAGCGAAGGCUUCAUCAAGGCCAUGGCCACACUCGGGGACCGUCCCCCGCCAGCACUCACCCCAGGCUUACCCUUUGGGACACUUGAUGUUGGGUGGGUCCUCCAGGAACCAGGGCAGGUAUUUGUGGAACUGGUCCACUGAUGGCCGGACGGGGCCCAGAGUGAAGUUCACACAGCUCUUCAAGCAGGCCAGGGAGUCUGCAAAGAGAGCGGGGGCUCUGGGCAGAGGCGUCACCCCCCCCGGCUCCAUUCCCACCAAGGUCCCCACAUACUUCCACCACCCAACAGCCAUGUGACACGUGUGGUCUGGAGGGGUCUGCCCUUGUCUCUGUAGGACAGGGCUGUGGAAACUGCUGGCAGCUGUAGGCAGGUGAGGAAGAGAUGUGCAGGGCAAAGAAACAACCCCCUUGGGCCUCCCCACUUCCCCUACAAGCGCAGCUGCUCUGGGACCAGAGCCACAUGCUAACCUGGCCCUCCACCACCCACCACCCUCGAGUGUUGGUGUGCCCAGAGAUCACCACUCAGGGGGCGCCUGCACAGUGGGGCGUGGUCACCCACACGUGUGCUCUGAGCCCACACCCCUACCCCAAUCGACCCUGCAAGUGGGCCUCGCCAGUCCGCUCCUCUCUUGCCUCAGUUUCCCCAAGCUGUGUUAGGUAGGCCAUGAGCCCCCAGAGGCCCUGCACUCACUAACGGUCGAGGGGCAGAAUUUGUCUUUGUUGGCACCAAAGGCAUACAGGCGGCAGCAAGAGGACGGGGUCAGCCAGUCAAUGAAGUCAUCCACCCAGGAAGAGGCAGGGAUGGCCAGGAGAAGCUGUCGCAUCCUGCGCUCGAGCAAAUGGCAUUCAUUCCCGCCUCGCUGGAGAAGUUGUAGCCUCCAGUGGUGACGAAGUAGACUGGAGCCCCCACCUCAAAGUAGCGGUUCAGAAAGAGGAAAUAGUCGAGCAGCACAGCCCACAGGCGUGUGCACGUGGAGACAGGCAGUGUGUCAGGCACCUGCAUGGCCUGUUCCUUUCUCCCAAAACCUCUGAGCACUGGAAGAGAAGAUGGGGUACGAGAAGCCAGGAGUCCACCCCCGCCCCCAACCUAGACACAACUGCACAACCCGUCUGAUGGGGUCUGCAGCCCUGGGGGCAGUUGAGGGCUCGCAGCUUCCAGGGAAAGGCCUGGAUGGUGAACUGUGCUUUGUGUCAACACCUUCAGCUCCCAGCACAUGCAGGUGUCCCAGGGGCAGUUUGUAUACCACUUGCGGAGUCCAGCAUGGGACAUAAGGACCCCACACUCUAUACAUGGCUGAUUUGCGUUCUGAUUGCCGGUCACUGAGCUUCUGAUCUCGGUGGUGCAGAGUCAGGCUGUACCGUGGUCUCCCCCACCUCCAGCUGGCCCGACUGCCAGGAUAUUUAAAUGGCAAGUGACUGGCUUAUUUUCCGCUUCAUGUUUCCCCUUUUUCUCCUUUGGGGAGCCAACCAUUUAAGGAAUAGGACAUUCAAACGCAAAUACCGAAGUCACCGCACAUUACCAGGGAAAGGCACAGGCUCAUCAGACUUUAAUUUUAUACCACAGGCUAAUCUCCCGGACACAGACACAGCAACGUCACAUUUGGGG
Molecule: long non-coding RNA, 2065 nt
Organism: Prionailurus viverrinus (fishing cat)
Lineage: Eukaryota; Metazoa; Chordata; Mammalia; Carnivora; Felidae
Exons: 6
Source: RefSeq, a predicted model, not a curated record